RNAcentral lists this ribosomal RNA (429 nucleotides) under Chloroflexota bacterium. RNAcentral describes it as "Chloroflexi bacterium partial 16S ribosomal RNA". It matches the Rfam family "Bacterial small subunit ribosomal RNA", at positions 355 to 776 of the family's 1533-position model. Lineage: Bacteria; Bacillati; Chloroflexota. The record is from RNAcentral.
UGGGGAAUAUUGCACAAUGGGCGCAAGCCUGAUGCAGCCAUGCCGCGUGUAUGAAGAAGGCCUUCGGGUUGUAAAGUACUUUCAGCGGGGAGGAAGGGAGUAAAGUUAAUACCUUUGCUCAUUGACGUUACCCGCAGAAGAAGCACCGGCUAACUCCGUGCCAGCAGCCGCGGUAAUACGGAGGGUGCAAGCGUUAAUCGGAAUUACUGGGCGUAAAGCGCACGCAGGCGGUUUGUUAAGUCAGAUGUGAAAUCCCCGGGCUCAACCUGCGAACUGCAUCUGAUACUGGCAAGCUUGAGUCUCGUAGAGGGGGGUAGAAUUCCAGGUGUAGCGGUGAAAUGCGUAGAGAUCUGGAGGAAUACCGGUGGCGAAGGCGGCCCCCUGGACGAAGACUGACGCUCAGGUGCGAAAGCGGGGGGAGCAAACAGG